RNAcentral lists this ribosomal RNA (313 nucleotides) under uncultured eukaryote. Its description in RNAcentral is "partial 18S ribosomal RNA". It matches the Rfam family "Eukaryotic small subunit ribosomal RNA", at positions 1470 to 1796 of the family's 1831-position model. The record is from RNAcentral.
CCCUUAGAUGUCCUGGGCCGCACGCGCGCUACACUGACAUGUUCAACAAGUUUCUCCUAGUUCGACAGGACUGGGAAAUCUUUGAACGCUGGUCGUGAUGGGGAUAGACUUUUGCAAUUUUUGGUCUUCAACGAGGAAUUCCUAGUAAACGCAAGUCAUCAACUUGCAUUGAUUACGUCCCUGCCCUUUGUACACACCGCCCGUCGCACCUACCGAUUGAAUGGUCCGGUGAAGCCUCCGGAUUGGCGCGCACCUCGGUGCCGCCGAGAAGUUGGCUAAACCUUACCAUUUAGAGGAAGGUGAAGUCGUAACA